Molecule: long non-coding RNA, 214 nt
Filed under: Mytilus galloprovincialis (Mediterranean mussel)
Lineage: Eukaryota; Metazoa; Mollusca; Bivalvia; Mytilida; Mytilidae
Source: RNAcentral
GCAUUAUUUAUAACGGAAAUGUCGUUUUGAAUUUAAUUAGCAGUUCGUUGUGAUCAUGUCGGAAGAAACAGGAUAAAUAAAAACGAACAAUAUCAUGUAAAAGCUAAGCAUAGAAAAAGGCCUGGUUUGUUUUCUUUUUUAGACAUCUGACACAAGGUCAACUUAAAAUACAAUUUAUUUUUGACGUCCUUCUUUAAUUACUAAAAUGGGAUAG